GCCUGACUGGCUCAGUCAGUGGAGCAUAUGACUCUUGAUCUUGAGGUCUUGAGUUCUGGCCCCACGUUGGGCA
RNAcentral lists this transfer RNA (73 nucleotides) under Felis catus (domestic cat). It matches the Rfam family "tRNA". Rfam says of the family: Transfer RNA (tRNA) molecules are approximately 80 nucleotides in length. Their secondary structure includes four short double-helical elements and three loops (D, anti-codon, and T loops). The record is from Rfam by way of RNAcentral. Lineage: Eukaryota; Metazoa; Chordata; Mammalia; Carnivora; Felidae.